Halichondria panicea is the source of this 425-nucleotide long non-coding RNA. RefSeq lists it as uncharacterized. Lineage: Eukaryota; Metazoa; Porifera; Demospongiae; Suberitida; Halichondriidae. The transcript is spliced from 3 exons. The record is from RefSeq and is a predicted model, not a curated record.
UGACCAAGCCAAUCAUCCAUACAUCAGCGUCCAUGGAGAUAUGCUCCACCCACUCUGUUCAGGUUCGGAAGUGUUGUGUUUGAGAUCACGUCAGGCAGAUAGAGAAGGUGGAGCUGGUCCUCCAGGACCUCCUUCAGCUGCAAUAUGAGGGCCUGGCAAUCAUGAAGAUGUUUGGAAGGGCCAAAGUGAACGUUAAUCUGCUCAUCUUCCUAUAAACAAAAAUCGACAGAGCGUUAAAUUGGAUUUCCACUACAUUCAUUGACAGUUUUAUACGUACAGUGCAUGUGCUCUCUGUGACACUGUAGAAUUUAAACCAUCAUUAUUACUGUGCUAUAUUGACCAAUUCCAACUGAUUUGUUUUUAGGUAAUUGUUAUGUAAUGUGCCGACAUAUUUCUAGUCUUCUGUACACUAACUGUUUUGUAAA